RNAcentral lists this ribosomal RNA (465 nucleotides) under uncultured Klebsiella sp. RNAcentral describes it as "bacterial SSU rRNA". It matches the Rfam family "Bacterial small subunit ribosomal RNA", at positions 338 to 795 of the family's 1533-position model. Lineage: Bacteria; Pseudomonadati; Pseudomonadota; Gammaproteobacteria; Enterobacterales; Enterobacteriaceae. The record is from RNAcentral.
CCUACGGGAGGCUGCAGUGGGGAAUAUUGCACAAUGGGCGCAAGCCUGAUGCAGCCAUGCCGCGUGUGUGAAGAAGGCCUUCGGGUUGUAAAGCACUUUCAGCGGGGAGGAAGGCGUUAAGGUUAAUAACCUUGGCGAUUGACGUUACCCGCAGAAGAAGCACCGGCUAACUCCGUGCCAGCAGCCGCGGUAAUACGGAGGGUGCAAGCGUUAAUCGGAAUUACUGGGCGUAAAGCGCACGCAGGCGGUCUGUCAAGUCGGAUGUGAAAUCCCCGGGCUCAACCUGGGAACUGCAUUCGAAACUGGCAGGCUAGAGUCUUGUAGAGGGGGGUAGAAUUCCAGGUGUAGCGGUGAGAUGCGUAGAGAUCUGGAGGAAUACCGGUAGCGAAGGCGGCCCCCUGGACAAAGACUGACGCUCAGGUGCGAAAGCGUGGGGAGCAAACAGGAUUAGAUACCCGAGUAGUC